This 442-nucleotide ribosomal RNA is filed under the name uncultured bacterium. Its description in RNAcentral is "partial 16S ribosomal RNA". It matches the Rfam family "Bacterial small subunit ribosomal RNA", at positions 338 to 795 of the family's 1533-position model. The record is from RNAcentral.
CCUACGGGCGGCAGCAGUGGGGAAUAUUGGGCAAUGGGCGCAAGCCUGACCCAGCAAUGCCGCGUGAAGGAAGAAGGCUUUCGGGUUGUAAACUUCUUUGACAGGGGAAGAGCAGAAGACGGUACCCUGAAAACAAGCCACGGCUAACUACGUGCCAGCAGCCGCGGUAAUACGUAGGUGGCAAGCGUUGUCCGGAUUGACUGGGUGUAAAGGGCGUGUAGCCGGGAAGGCAAGUCAUAUGUGAAAUCUGGAGGCUCAACCUCCAAAUUGCAUUUGAAACUGUUUGUCUUGAGUACUGGAGAGGCAGACGGAAUUCCUUGUGUAGCGGUGAAAUGCGUAGAUAUAAGGAGGAACACCAGUGGCGAAGGCGGUCUGCUGGACAGCAACUGACGGUGAGGCGCGAAAGCGUGGGGAGCAAACAGGAUUAGAUACCCCUGUAGUC